This 101-nucleotide microRNA precursor is filed under the name Marmota monax (woodchuck). The record is from RNAcentral. Lineage: Eukaryota; Metazoa; Chordata; Mammalia; Rodentia; Sciuridae.
AGUGAAAUUGCUGGAUUAAAUGGAAACCUAUGUUUAACUUUUUGAGAAACCAUCAACUGUUUUCCAAAGUGGGUACAUCCUUUUACAUUCCCACCAGCAAA